This 253-nucleotide ribosomal RNA is filed under the name uncultured bacterium. Its description in RNAcentral is "partial 16S ribosomal RNA". It matches the Rfam family "Bacterial small subunit ribosomal RNA", at positions 524 to 776 of the family's 1533-position model. The record is from RNAcentral.
UACGUAGGGUGCGAGCGUUAUCCGGAUUCACUGGGUUUAAAGGGAGCGUAGGUGGGUUGGUAAGUCAGUGGUGAAAUCCCCGAGCUUAACUUGGGAACUGCCAUUGAUACUAUCAGUCUUGAAUACUGUGGAGGUUAGCGGAAUAUGUCAUGUAGCGGUGAAAUGCUUAGAUAUGACAUAGAACACCAAUUGCGAAGGCAGCUGGCUACACAAUUAUUGACACUGAGGCUCGAAAGCGUGGGGAUCAAACAGG